CAGCCGCCGCGGUAAAACAGAGGGUGCGAGCGUUAAUCGGAUUUACUGGGCGUAAAGCGUGCGUAGGCGGCUUUUUAAGUCGGAUGUGAAAUCCCUGAGCUUAACUUAGGAAUUGCAUUCGAUACUGGGAAGCUAGAGUAUGGGAGAGGAUGGUAGAAUUCCAGGUGUAGCGGUGAAAUGCGUAGAGAUCUGGAGGAAUACCGAUGGCGAAGGCAGCCAUCUGGCCUAAUACUGACGCUGAGGUACGAAAGCAUGGGGAGCAAACAGGAUUAGAUACCCGAGUAGUCCCUGUCUCUUAUAU
RNAcentral lists this ribosomal RNA (301 nucleotides) under uncultured bacterium. RNAcentral describes it as "partial 16S ribosomal RNA". It matches the Rfam family "Bacterial small subunit ribosomal RNA", at positions 509 to 809 of the family's 1533-position model. The record is from RNAcentral.